AAGGGCACCACAAGAACGCGUGGAGCAUGUGGCUUAAUUUGACUCAACGCGGGAAAUCUUACCGGGUCCGGACACACUGAGGAUUGACAGAUAUAUUAUUAUAUGUAUUUUAAAUACAUAUAUUAGAAAGAUGCUAGUUCUUUCAUGAUUAUGUGAUAGGUGGUGCAUGGCCGUUCUUAGUUCGUGGAGUGAUCUGUCUGCUUAAUUGCGUUUCACUAAAGGCCUUAUUAUAUACAGUGUGUUGACACUUUGCAUUGACCCCUGCUCACUGAGUGGACGCGUGUCUUUGUUAUACUGUCUCAUACUAAUUUAGGCCUUGAAAGCAACGAACGUGACCGCAACCUCUUGUUGCCUUAUUACCAUAUAUAAUAAUUGUGUCUCUGUACACAUUUAUUGUAAUAAAGGCUAUUUUAUUUAUAUUAAACUAGAGGGACCGCUGUGAUCUUUUUUAAACCAGAGGAAGGUUGCGGCAAUAACAGGUCUGUGAUGCCCUUAGAUGUUCCGGGCUGCACACGUGCUACAAUGAUUAUUGCAGUGAGCAUCUCAUUUAUAACAGCUGUCUUGUGCGUGUAUUAAUUAUUUUUAUAAUAAUUAAAUUACAUUGUACACAACUAAGCCUACUUCGAGAGGUCAGUAGGUAACCAAUUAGAAGUAAUGAUUUCUAAUUUAUUAUGCACAACAAUAUGUGGCAUUUAUAUCCGGGUUGUAGCUUUGCCUAUAACUUUUGUGUGUAUAAAUGUAUUUUAUAUCCACAUGUGCAAUUAUUAAUUCAAGGUGGGGACAGACUAUUGUUAAUUGUUAGUCUCGGUCUUAACUAGGAAUGCCUUGUACGGGUUGGUUCAACAAACCACCCGGAAUACGUCCCUGCCCUUUGUACACACCGCCCGUCGCUCUUACCGAUGAACUUCUCUGUGAGUCUAAUGGACUAAUUAUAUAUAUUUUAUUAUAUAUAAUGGAAAAUUAUACGAACAGGGUGGUUUAAAGGAAAGAGAAGUCGAACAAGGC
This 1005-nucleotide ribosomal RNA is filed under the name Trochamminidae sp. 9634. RNAcentral's name for it is "bacterial SSU rRNA". It matches the Rfam family "Eukaryotic small subunit ribosomal RNA", at positions 1160 to 1800 of the family's 1831-position model. The record is from RNAcentral. Lineage: Eukaryota; Foraminifera; Textulariida; Trochamminidae.